CGCCCGCCCGCCCUCGCGGCUCCCUCCUUCCCCGGCUCCAAUCCCGUUCCGCAGUUCCCCGCCCACGGCCGCCUCCUUUCUCCGUCUUCUCCCCACCUUCUGCCGGUGAAGCCGCGCUCGCCGAGCAGGGAGGAAAAGACCUCGCAGACUGGCAGAGUCCGCUGAGUCAGGCAGAACCUCGAAGCCAGGGAAUAGAGCUGGGCAGAUACGGAGAAAGACGGGCCCAGGGCACACGGGAUGGGAAAACGUUGGAGACGGGGAGACCCGGAGACGGUUGACCGACAGUCGAGGAAGAGACUGACCGACCGGCGGCGGAUAGGCGGGAAGAAACGCGUGAGCCAGUAGAUAGAUACAUAAGGAAAGGAGGACAUUAGUCCAAAAGAGAAAAGAAAGGGGGCAGAAAAUCGCUUGGAAGCCUCAGCCUCUUCCUGCAGCCCCUCCUCAAGGGUGUAUGUGAGAUCUGGCCCGACCUAGUGGGGGCGUCGGGGGCAGGUGAGGACACUUGGUCGCUGAACACCGCUCCUGAUUCGCUCUACCUCAUGAGAGACUUCUGUGCCAUCUCUUCUCCCAAGAGGACUCAGAGCCAAGACUGCACAGCAGUGUCUGCGUCUGGAUAGGAACUUCUGGAAUUGAGCUAAUGGGCCAUAGGGCUGGUUUGUGCUACUCUGGAGGGGAAGGUGGUGGGGAGAGGAUGAAAUCGGAUGUCUUAGAAGCUCUGAACCUAUUGCCCUUCCUGAUUUCCCAGCGUUCUUUAAUAUUGAGCAUUUCUUUUCUGGGGGCAGUAGUGGGGGUUGAACCCAGGGCUUUGCCCAUGCUAGGCAAGUGCUCUGCCACUGAGCUGUGUUCCCAGGAUAGCAGAGAGCAUUUACUGAAACUCUCCUGAUGCUUCCCUCCCCACUGCAGUUUCCAUGAUGAAAACUGGAGGGGUGGGGGAGGAAUCUGUGAAGCCAGUGCCCAGGGCUCCAUGCCCAGUACCUGCCCAAAGCAGCCAGCACUGCUGGCUCUAAGGCCCUCUGGGCCUCCUUGUCUCAGCUGAAUCCCUUCUGUGCUCGUCUUUGGCAAAAGCUGGGAAGUCUGGUUCUGAUUUAAAGGGGGCGGAGGACUGGAUUCUAAUCUGGGUGCAGGAAAGAGGCAGGGCAUGGUGCCAGUGUGGAUCCCCCCAGACUGGGAUCUGGGAGGGGUGGAUAUGGUCAAGACAGGAAGCCUUGAUUUUACUGCUCUUGGCUGAGUUAGCGCUCAGUAGGCAGCUUCAGAGGAUCAAUAGAGCAGCUGGAGUUACCCGGCCCUGCAGGAAGGGAUCAGCGAGGAACUGGGAAAGCAUGGGAGGUGCCCUGGGAGAGGUAGGAGUUAGGGAAAGCCAGAGGAGUGGCAGGGAUUGGAGGCUACUGGGAAAGGGCAAGGCUGAAGGUCGUUGUGUGUAUUUCUGCAACAUGAGAUGGGGAAAUUUGUUCAUUUCUUUGGACUCUGCAGCUAACACCUGGCCCUUCACAGUACUUCUCAGGGCUGUGGCUGGGCCCUGGGAUGCAUGCCAUGGAAGUAGGUUCUAAUCUAAAGGCACAGAGGGAC
Molecule: long non-coding RNA, 1566 nt
Organism: Heterocephalus glaber (naked mole-rat)
Lineage: Eukaryota; Metazoa; Chordata; Mammalia; Rodentia; Bathyergidae
Source: Ensembl